Molecule: ribosomal RNA, 822 nt
Filed under: Bacillus pumilus
Lineage: Bacteria; Bacillati; Bacillota; Bacilli; Caryophanales; Bacillaceae
Description: bacterial SSU rRNA
Rfam family: Bacterial small subunit ribosomal RNA
Source: RNAcentral
UUUUCGGAGAGUUUGAUCCUGGCUCAGGACGAACGCUGGCGGCGUGCCUAAUACAUGCAAGUCGAGCGAACAGAAGGGAGCUUGCUCCCGGAUGUUAGCGGCGGACGGGUGAGUAACACGUGGGUAACCUGCCUGUAAGACUGGGAUAACUCCGGGAAACCGGAGCUAAUACCGGAUAGUUCCUUGAACCGCAUGGUUCAAGGAUGAAAGACGGUUUCGGCUGUCACUUACAGAUGGACCCGCGGCGCAUUAGCUAGUUGGUGGGGUAAUGGCUCACCAAGGCGACGAUGCGUAGCCGACCUGAGAGGGUGAUCGGCCACACUGGGACUGAGACACGGCCCAGACUCCUACGGGAGGCAGCAGUAGGGAAUCUUCCGCAAUGGACGAAAGUCUGACGGAGCAACGCCGCGUGAGUGAUGAAGGUUUUCGGAUCGUAAAGCUCUGUUGUUAGGGAAGAACAAGUGCGAGAGUAACUGCUCGCACCUUGACGGUACCUAACCAGAAAGCCACGGCUAACUACGUGCCAGCAGCCGCGGUAAUACGUAGGUGGCAAGCGUUGUCCGGAAUUAUUGGGCGUAAAGGGCUCGCAGGCGGUUUCUUAAGUCUGAUGUGAAAGCCCCCGGCUCAACCGGGGAGGGUCAUUGGAAACUGGGGAACUUGAGUGCAGAAGAGGAGAGUGGAAUUCCACGUGUAGCGGUGAAAUGCGUAGAGAUGUGGAGGAACACCAGUGGCGAAGGCGACUCUCUGGUCUGUAACUGACGCUGAGGAGCGAAAGCGUGGGGAGCGAACAGGAUUAGAUACCCUGGUAGUCCACGCCGUAAA